GGAGCAUUCUCUGGUGCCUUUGCAACUGCGCUGACCAACCCUGUGGAAGUUCUGAAGGUACGGUUGCAGAUGAAUCCAAACUUGAGAAGAGGAGCAAUAGGGGAAAUGAGAAAAAUUGCUUCAGAAGAGGGAAUAACGGCUCUCUGGAAGGGGGUUGGCCCUGCUAUGGCCAGGGCUGCUUCUUUGACUGCAUCACUGCUUGCAACAUAUGAUGAAUCCAAGCGGGUUUUGAUAAGGUGGACUCCUCUUGAAGAAGGAUUUUAUCUACAUCUCAUGUAUGGCUUCUAGCUGUUCCACUUCUCCUUAUUAUCUAUUAAGUACUGCA
Camellia sinensis is the source of this 325-nucleotide non-coding RNA. The record is from RefSeq and is a predicted model, not a curated record. Lineage: Eukaryota; Viridiplantae; Streptophyta; Magnoliopsida; Ericales; Theaceae.